This 403-nucleotide ribosomal RNA is filed under the name uncultured bacterium. RNAcentral's name for it is "bacterial SSU rRNA". It matches the Rfam family "Bacterial small subunit ribosomal RNA", at positions 356 to 775 of the family's 1533-position model. The record is from RNAcentral.
AAGGAAUAUUGGGCAAUGGGCGAAAGCCUGACCCAGCGACACCGCGUGGGGGAAGACGGCCUUCGGGUUGUAAACCCCUUUUAUCGGGGAAGAAUAAUGACGGUACCCGAUGAAUAAGCCUCGGCUAACUACGUGCCAGCAGCCGCGGUAAUACGUAGGAGGCAAGCGUUAUCCGGAUUUACUGGGCGUAAAGCGGGCGUAGGCGGUCUGUCAAGUCGGAUGUGAAAUCUCCCGGCUCAACUGGGAGGGUGCAUCGGAAACUGAUGGACUGGAGUGCAGCAGAGGAAAGCGGAAUUCCCGGUGUAGUGGUGAAAUGCGUAGAUAUCGGGAAGAACACUAGUGGCGAAGGCGGCUUUCUGGGCUGUAACUGACGCUGAGGUCCGAAGGCGUGGGGAGCAAACAG